This 501-nucleotide ribosomal RNA is filed under the name uncultured bacterium. RNAcentral's name for it is "partial 16S ribosomal RNA". It matches the Rfam family "Bacterial small subunit ribosomal RNA", at positions 30 to 523 of the family's 1533-position model. The record is from RNAcentral.
AUUGAACGCUGGCGGCAGGCUUAACACAUGCAAGUCGAGCGGAGAGAGGUAGCUUGCUACUGAUCUUAGCGGCGGACGGGUGAGUAAUGCUUAGGAAUCUGCCUAUUAGUGGGGGACAACAUUUCGAAAGGAAUGCUAAUACCGCAUACGUCCUACGGGAGAAAGCAGGGGAUCCUCGGACCUCGCGCUAAUAGAUGAGCCUAAGUCGGAUUAGCUAGUUGGUGGGGUAAAGGCCUACCAAGGCGACGAUCUGUAGCGGGUCUGAGAGGAUGAUCCGCCACACUGGGACUGAGACACGGCCCAGACUCCUACGGGAGGCAGCAGUGGGGAAUAUUGGACAAUGGGCGGAAGCCUGAUCCAGCCAUGCCGCGUGUGUGAAGAAGGCCUUAUGGUUGUAAAGCACUUUAAGCGAGGAGGAGGCUACUUUAGUUAAUACCUAGAGAUAGUGGACGAUACUCGCAGAAUAAGCACCGGCUAACUCUGUGCCAGCCGCCGCGGUAA